This 160-nucleotide ribosomal RNA is filed under the name Stagonosporopsis cucurbitacearum. RNAcentral's name for it is "5.8S ribosomal RNA". It matches the Rfam family "5.8S ribosomal RNA". From Rfam's summary of the family: 5.8S ribosomal RNA (5.8S rRNA) is a component of the large subunit of the eukaryotic ribosome. It is transcribed by RNA polymerase I as part of the 45S precursor that also contains 18S and 28S rRNA. Lineage: Eukaryota; Fungi; Ascomycota; Dothideomycetes; Pleosporales; Didymellaceae. The record is from RNAcentral.
CAACUUUCAACAACGGAUCUCUUGGUUCUGGCAUCGAUGAAGAACGCAGCGAAAUGCGAUAAGUAGUGUGAAUUGCAGAAUUCAGUGAAUCAUCGAAUCUUUGAACGCACAUUGCGCCCCUUGGUAUUCCAUGGGGCAUGCCUGUUCGAGCGUCAUUUGU